AACGGUAGUGUAGUAAACAGAGUGAGUACGGUAGUGUAGUAAACAGAGUGAGUACGGUAGUGUGCUAAACAGAGUGAGUACGGUAGUGUACUAAACAGAGUGAGUAUUGUAGUGUGCUAAACAGAGUGAGUACGGUAGUAAACAGAGUGAGUAGUGUACUAAACAGAGUGAGUACGGUAGUGUACUAAACAGAGUGAGUACGGUAGUGUACUAAACAGAGUGAGUACGGUAGUGUACUAAACAGAGUGAGUACGGUAGUGUACUAAACAGAGUGAGUAAGGUAGUGUGCUAAACAGAGUGAGUACGUUAGUAAACAGAGUGAGUACGGUAGUGCGCUAAACAGAGUGAGUACGGCAGUAAACAGAGUGAGCACGGGAGCAAACAGAGUGAGCACGGUAGCAAA
RNAcentral lists this long non-coding RNA (403 nucleotides) under Salmo salar (Atlantic salmon). RNAcentral describes it as "lncRNA (ENSSSAG00000118380.1)". Lineage: Eukaryota; Metazoa; Chordata; Actinopteri; Salmoniformes; Salmonidae. The record is from RNAcentral.